ACAGACUCCUACGGGAGGCAGCAGUGGGGAAUAUUGCACAAUGGGGGAAACCCUGAUGCAGCGACGCCGCGUGAAGGAUGAAGUAUUUCGGUAUGUAAACUUCUAUCAGCAGGGAAGAAAAUGACGGUACCUGACUAAGAAGCCCCGGCUAACUACGUGCCAGCAGCCGCGGUAAUACGUAGGGGGCAAGCGUUAUCCGGAUUUACUGGGUGUAAAGGGAGCGUAGACGGCGGCGCAAGCCAGAUGUGAAAGCCCGGGGCUCAACCCCGGGACUGCAUUUGGAACUGUGCCGCUAGAGUGUCGGAGAGGCAGGCGGAAUUCCUAGCGUAGCGGUGAAAUGCGUAGAUAUUAGGAGGAACACCAGUGGCGAAGGCGGCCUGCUGGACGAUGACUGACGUUGAGGCUCGAAAGCGUGGGGAGCAAACAGGAUUAGAUACCCCAGUAAU
Molecule: ribosomal RNA, 446 nt
Filed under: uncultured bacterium
Lineage: Bacteria
Description: partial 16S ribosomal RNA
Rfam family: Bacterial small subunit ribosomal RNA
Source: RNAcentral